AACACUUUUUUCUUUCCAUAUGGGACAUGAGAGAUACAUAAAUAAUGUUAAAAGAAAAAAAGAAAGAAAAAAAAAGUUGACCCUUCUGGGGAUUGAACCCAUGGCCCUUAUUUUCAAUGUAGUUAACAGUAAUUCUAGCCUAUUUAAAUACUCUUCAAAGCGGAGAUAAUGCAUUAGGGUGCUAAUACCUUAAAUAAAUAUUAAGGUAAGUGCAUUUUUUAUUAUUUAUGCUGUUAUUGUACAUUAUUUUUUUCUGAUAUGUUGAAUAUGAAUAACCAUCGUAUUUUUACUUUAAACAAUUAAAUAAAUGGGACCAUGACACUUGAACUGGUUUAUAUAAAAAAACAUGGCAGGCAUCUGGGUCAGGUCAUGACAGACACAUUUUUUGGGAUACAUUGUUUAUUGCACUCGAUUUGUAUUUGUCAUGGUCUUUAUAGAAAGUUAUUGUUAACUUUUUUCUAAAUUAGACAUUGAUUACAUUACAAAAUAAAUUGAAGUCCAGGCUGCAAUGAAGGAAAAAAAGUAAAACAAAAGUUGCCACAAUUACAGUAUUUUUUCUACAUCACUAUGACAAAAAAUGUAACUGGACACAUAACAAUAUAUUUCGCAAUUUGUUUACAAUGAAUGAGCUUGAUAUAGAUCUACAUCAAGUAGAUUUAUACUGUAUAAAAUAUUUAUAAAAAAGGAAAUAUAUGACAAGGCUACAGUAGAUCUACUGUAAUAAUUGACAAAUGAAUUUCUAUUACAAUUCAAGAUCAAUUUAGUAAAGGAAAUGUUAUCCCUGUACUGCAUGCUGCUUUUGAAAAACAAUAAAUAGAUCUAGAACUGUGAUUGAAGAUGUCACCAUAGAUAAAUACUAAAAUGCAUUUAUUAUCAUUAGCCCUUUGCCUUUGGUAGUAGAUCUAUCUACAAUAAAUCAUAUUAUAUUCACAUUACUUAUACCACAUGGCAUAUUCUACCAGCAGGGCUUCCAUUAAGUUCCAAACAUUGGCAGUCAAAGACUGCAAAAUGUCUGUAAUUGGAAGUCACUUUGUAGGUAAAGGAGGAAAAGCAUUACAUUUUGGAAGCCAAAAUCAAUGAGUAAAUGACUCCCAAACUUUAACUAACAGAAGCCCUGCUACCAGAUAUUUUAACAUUUAUGAGCAAGCACUUUUUGCUGAAGAAAUAUUUUGUGUUGUUGUUUUAGGUCUGACAGCCAACAAUAAGAACAUACAUUUAAGAUCUUCAACUUAGUUCAUCAGAGUUUUGAAGUAGAUAAUAUGAUUAUCCAGCAUGUUGGAGCCAUAUUUCUUCAAGGAAACGUACUGAAGACAUAGAUAGUUCACCUAUUUGCUGUCAGAUUAAUAUACUAAACUAUUGUUGGAAAUGAGGCACAAUGUGUGACAUAGUUCUAUGCCCUAUUGAGCACCAGGGUUAUGGAGUAAAAAAGACAAUCACUUGUAUCAACUGUACUGUAUUGGUCAAGAUAAAAAACACUUCAAUUGGGAUGGCAUGUGAGAAGUCAAUGACUUGUCUAUGUUUGACAGUAUACCAAAAGUGAAUUACAUUCUCAAAAAAAUUGUCUUUAGAAGUAUCCCUGAAAAAGCUGAAUACUGCAGUAUUUUUACGUAAUUGUGAAACAAGUUUUUGCAAGUUUUAUAUAUGAAUCACUUUUUGCUUACAAAACCUGAAGGCAUAUGAGGAGACAUAGUUGCUAUUACCCUGUUUGGGUCAAACCCUCAACAUGGGGUUGCAAGACUAUUAUUCAAGGACAUAAGUGAGCUGUCAUUUGUGACUUCCCAUGUGAUUGCAAGACUCUGCUAUUGUAAUUGUUUUAAAUUCUGUCAUUUUAUUCAUUGAAAUUAUUUCAAUUUAAAAAUAUACUAAUAUGUUAUUCAUAUUAUACAAUUUAAAAUACACUGAUCAGAAUAUGAUUACACUGUCAAUAUCUGUAACUGAAAAUUUAGUCAGGAACAUAACUAGUGCAAGCUCUUUCUAUUUUUUUUUUUUGGUAAAUUUCUGAAAGACCUUUGUUCAAAGUUAUUGUGAAAUGGAAUAUUUUUUUAUAAAAUGCAAUUAUUUUAAAUCAUUCAGUUAUUUUUGCAUUGUUUUGUUACCAUGGCAACCAAAAUACACCAUUUUUGCAAUCAGUGCAUUAAAGAAUAUUUGUUUUGGAUUGGAUUCAUAUUUUAUAUGCUAUCAUGUUAUAGAUGUGCAUUUUAAAGUUGACUAACUUAAGAUAUGAUAUUCACCUUA
Ruditapes philippinarum (Manila clam) is the source of this 2235-nucleotide long non-coding RNA. RefSeq lists it as uncharacterized. Lineage: Eukaryota; Metazoa; Mollusca; Bivalvia; Venerida; Veneridae. The transcript is spliced from 3 exons. The record is from RefSeq and is a predicted model, not a curated record.